This 244-nucleotide ribosomal RNA is filed under the name uncultured bacterium. RNAcentral describes it as "partial 16S ribosomal RNA". It matches the Rfam family "Bacterial small subunit ribosomal RNA", at positions 92 to 334 of the family's 1533-position model. The record is from RNAcentral.
CGACCGGCGCACGGGUGAGUAACACGUAUCCAACCUGCCGUCUACUCUUGGCCAGCCUUCUGAAAGGAAGAUUAAUCCAGGAUGGGAUCAUGAGUUCACAUGUCCGCAUGAUUAAAGGUAUUUUCCGGUAGACGAUGGGGAUGCGUUCCAUUAGGUUGUUGGCGGGGUAACGGCCCACCAAGCCUUCGAUGGAUAGGGGUUCUGAGAGGAAGGUCCCCCACAUUGGAACUGAGACACGGUCCAA